RNAcentral lists this ribosomal RNA (255 nucleotides) under uncultured bacterium. RNAcentral's name for it is "partial 16S ribosomal RNA". It matches the Rfam family "Bacterial small subunit ribosomal RNA", at positions 524 to 776 of the family's 1533-position model. The record is from RNAcentral.
UACGUAGGGUGCAAGCGUUGUCCGGAAUUAUUGGGCGUAAAGAGCUCGUAGGCGGUUCAGUAAGUCGGGUGUGAAAACUCUGGGCUUAACCCAGAGCCGCCACUCGAUACUGCUGUGACUUUGAGUUCGGUAGGGGAGCAGGGAAUUCCUAGUGUAGCGGUGAAAUGCGCAGAUAUUAGGAGGAACACCGGUGGCGAAGGCGCUGCUCUGGGCCGAUACUGACGCUGAGGAGCGAAAGCGUGGGUAGCAAACAGG